ACGACGGCCCCGCCUACCACCACCCUCGAGGUGACGACGACGGCCCCCCAUAGCACCACCCUCGAGGUGACGACGACGGCCCCCCAUAGCACCACCCUCGAGGUGACGACGACGGCCCCCCAUAGCACCACCCUCGAGGUGACGACGACGGCCCCCCAUAGCACCACCCUCGAGGUGACGACGACGGCCCCCCAUAGCACCACCCUCGAGGUGACGACGACGACGGCCCCCCCAUAGCACCACCCUCGAGGUGACGACGACGGAGAUGACUACCACAGCAAUCGCCACCACUCAGCAGCAGCAGGGGUGCUGCUGAAGAGUGGGGAAACAAGCAAGUCAUGAAAUGCAUAAAAUACUGAUACAAAACUAGAAAAUAUUAGGUGAAAUAAAUGGCUUUUUUUUUUUUUUUGCAACUGGGACUGUUCAUUUUAUAUCUAUAUUUGGGUUUAAAUUUCUGUUAAAUGCUGUUCCUUCCCAAAACUUUGAAUUUUUCUAUUUUUGGCAGCAGUCAAAACUCUUGGUAGAACUUUGGAUCUCAAUUUUCUUGGUGCUUUCUGAACAUCUUCCACUGGUAGAUAUUAAACCAGAGCUUAAUGCUUCCUUAAAUAUA
Long non-coding RNA from Centropristis striata (black sea bass), 610 nucleotides. RefSeq lists it as uncharacterized. Lineage: Eukaryota; Metazoa; Chordata; Actinopteri; Perciformes; Serranidae. The record is from RefSeq and is a predicted model, not a curated record. The transcript has 2 exons.